UUCUCGAUAGCUCAAUUGGCAAGAGCGCAAGACGGAUGUUAAAGGAAUGAGCUGGUUAGUCUUGAGGUCGCCGGUUCGAUGCCGGCUCGAAGGA
This is a non-coding RNA of Peniophora sp. CONT, 94 nucleotides long. NCBI's taxonomy places the organism in Eukaryota, Fungi, Basidiomycota, Agaricomycetes, Russulales, Peniophoraceae. The record is from the annotation of a GenBank genome assembly.